AAGGAUGUAGCUCAAUGGUGGAGCUUGUGCUUACCAUGCUCAAUGGUUUGGGUUUGAUCCCCAGCACUGUUA
Molecule: non-coding RNA, 72 nt
Organism: Fukomys damarensis (Damara mole-rat)
Lineage: Eukaryota; Metazoa; Chordata; Mammalia; Rodentia; Bathyergidae
Source: Rfam